AGAGAAAAGGGUGGAGUAGCACCCGAUUCUCAUUUUCACAAAAAGACUAAAGGGUUGUCUCUUCCUUUUCUCUCCACCACCUCCAGCCAGCUGCUUUCGGCGACGUUCCGGCGAGUCUUCUGGCCGGCAAGAUUCAAGUGUGGGUUUUGAAUCAACUCUAGAGAAGAGUUUGAUUUCUUGAAUUGAAGACACUAACAAGCUUUAAGGUUAGUGAACUUACGUGGAGUAUACGUUGCGUUUGUGGUAAGAAUUUACAAUUCGCUUUGAGGUGAGUCUAGUUCCAGUACCAAGGUUACGGAUUAGGAGGAGCGU
Tripterygium wilfordii is the source of this 312-nucleotide long non-coding RNA. RefSeq lists it as uncharacterized. The record is from RefSeq and is a predicted model, not a curated record. The transcript has 4 exons. NCBI's taxonomy places the organism in Eukaryota, Viridiplantae, Streptophyta, Magnoliopsida, Celastrales, Celastraceae.